Molecule: non-coding RNA, 458 nt
Organism: Notechis scutatus (mainland tiger snake)
Lineage: Eukaryota; Metazoa; Chordata; Lepidosauria; Squamata; Elapidae
Source: RefSeq, a predicted model, not a curated record
GGGAGGAAAUGUCCCACUCCAAAUAUACCAAAUGGCAAGACAGAUGCUGAUGAUGACGACGACAUCCGUUUGGGUGGCAAUGUAACUUUCUCCUGUGUAUCUGGGUUUAGACUUGUUGGUGAAGCUACACUUAAGUGUGUUCUGAAAGAUGGCAAGGUUGAUUGGAAUAGAGAGUUCCCAGUUUGCGAACAUAUCCCUUGUAAUCGUCCUGAAAAUAUUCCUGAUGGACAAUUUGAUCCUGACCCUAAAGAUGAAUAUUAUGUAGACUCAGUUGUAAUCUACCACUGCAACCGUGAUUUCUCCCUGAUUGGAAAUUCAACCAUCACAUGCAUAACUACAGAAGAUGGCCGAAAUGGAAAGUGGAAUUUACCUGCCCCUGAAUGUAAAAAGGUCAAGUGUGAUCCACCAAAAGUGGAAAAUGGGAAAUUAACUAAUUUACCUAAGCCUUCAUAUACCUA